Molecule: long non-coding RNA, 1353 nt
Organism: Neogale vison (American mink)
Lineage: Eukaryota; Metazoa; Chordata; Mammalia; Carnivora; Mustelidae
Exons: 6
Source: RefSeq, a predicted model, not a curated record
CCGGGCCCGGCCCCCCCUGGGCGCACGGCCGCCCCCGCGGAGAAGUCCGCGGUGCUUACCCCUGACUCGCGGACCAAAGUCCCCGCUCCUGCGGGCGGCCCCCCAGCCGCGCUUUGCGGAGGGCCGGGUGCCUCCGGGGCUGGGAGCGCGCAGGGCUGGGGUGGGGAUUGGCCAGCUCGCUUCCUUGACCCCUUCCCGACAGCCCGGCUUCUGGCUUCUGCGAAGUGCCCGUGGGUGUUUUUCCCUGCAGUGUUUACUGAGCGCCUCCCGGGUGCCAGGCGCCACGAGAAUUCAGAUAGCGAAGCAAGCCUUCUAUCAGCCAGUGCAAUCUGGUCAACUCUGCUCCGAGCCUCUGCACGUGGUAACUCGUUCCAUCCUCACGGCUGCCUUAUGAAGGAGCUGUGUUACUAUCGCUCAUUUUACAGAUGGGGAAACUGAGGCACAGAGGGGCAACGUGCUGAGAAUCACUCGGCAGGCGUGGGAUUUGAGCCUAGGUACCACAGACCACCAACCACUGGACACCCAAAGAGCCCACAGGGAACCAGAUGGUGGGAAAAAACACUGAGGAAUAAAGUAUUUCAGGUGAGGACAGAGGGAUGGCCAACAACUCUGAGCUAAGCACUGUGAACAAAGCCAGGAGACUGUGUCAAAGAGGCUGAGAGCUGAUCCUUUCUGCUGCCACCCUUAGGGCAGAAUGACAUCCAGUCAUACCCCAGAAAUUUAUGCUGCGUGACUAUUGAAAGAAAGCGGCAACACCAGGGUGGAAAUCCUGGACUUCUGGAGGCCUGGCUCACCAUUUUGUUGGGACGCGUGACCCCUCCUUUUUGGUGGAACCGACGAUCAGCUUGUCCCCUUCCCUCUGUCCUGGGUGGAACAUAAAACCCAGCUGGAACCAGUGAGCGGCUCCCACCUUCCAGGGCAGAUCCUGAGAUGGGAGACAGAAAGAUCUGCAAAUGACAUGCCGGCGGGACCGCAUCUCCUUCUGGCCAGGCCUGCCCAGCUGUUUUAAAAAUCAAACUGACUAUAGGGACAAAGACUCAUCUUUGCAUCCUGGCAUCCUGCACUAUGCCUUCUAAGGCUCUCGAUCAUUCGCAGGAGGAAGGCAAAAAAUUAAAUGAAAAUGAAAAAUGAAAAAUGUGGUGAGUCAAUCCCUUAGGAGAUCACGAUGACCUUGCGUCUUGUCUGGAAACCUCCCCUGGUAGCUUUGCUAUGGUUUUUGAGAACAAAGCAGGGUCCCAAGAAGGAAAAGUAAGUGUAACAAAUUCUCCAUACUAAAACGUGCGCGCUUUACUGAUAUCUAGCUUUAUCUAUUUAUGUAUGUAUUUAUGGCCACUUUUUUAAAAUUUGAUUUUA